UACGUAGGGUGCAGGCGUUAAUCGGAAUUACUGGGCGUAAAGCGUGCGCAGGCGGUCUGCUAAGAGAGGUGUGAAAUCCCCGGGCUUAACCUGGGAACUGCGCUUCUAACUGGCAGGCUUGAGUGUGGCAGAGGGGGGUGGAAUUCCAGGUGUAGCGGUGAAAUGCGUAGAUAUCUGGAGGAACACCGGUGGCGAAGGCGGCAUCCUGGACCGGUAUUGACGCUGAGGAGCGAAAGCCAGGGGAGCAAACGGG
Molecule: ribosomal RNA, 253 nt
Filed under: uncultured bacterium
Lineage: Bacteria
Description: partial 16S ribosomal RNA
Rfam family: Bacterial small subunit ribosomal RNA
Source: RNAcentral